GGGUGACAGGUGGUGCAUGGUUGUCGGUCAGGCUUCGGUGUCGUGAGAUGUUGGGUUAAGUCCCGCAACGAGCGCAACCCUCGACCUUAGUUGCCAGCAUUCAGUUGGGCACUCUAAGGUGACUGCCGGCUAAAAGUCGGAGGAAGGUGGGAUGACGUCAAAUCAUCAUGCCCCUUAUGACCUGGGCUACACACGUGCUACAAUGGGCGGUACAAAGGGUCGCGAACCCGCGAGGGGGAGCCAAUCCCAAAAAGCCGCUCUCAGUUCGGAUUGCAGGCUGCAACUCGCCUGCAUGAAGCCGGAAUCGCUAGUAAUCGCGGAUCAGCAUGCCGCGGUGAAUACGUUCCCGGGCCUU
This 355-nucleotide ribosomal RNA is filed under the name uncultured Anoxybacillus sp. Its description in RNAcentral is "bacterial SSU rRNA". It matches the Rfam family "Bacterial small subunit ribosomal RNA", at positions 1029 to 1382 of the family's 1533-position model. Lineage: Bacteria; Bacillati; Bacillota; Bacilli; Caryophanales; Anoxybacillaceae. The record is from RNAcentral.